This 305-nucleotide ribosomal RNA is filed under the name uncultured bacterium. Its description in RNAcentral is "bacterial SSU rRNA". It matches the Rfam family "Bacterial small subunit ribosomal RNA", at positions 334 to 655 of the family's 1533-position model. The record is from RNAcentral.
CUUGCCUACGGGACGCAGCAGUGGGGAAUAUUGCACAAUGGGGGAAACCCUGAUGCAGCAACGCCGCGUGAGUGAAGAAGUAUUUCGGUAUGUAAACCUCUAUCAGCAGGGAAGAAAAAAGACGGUACCUGACUAAGAAGCCCCGGCUAACUACGUGCCAGCAGCCGCGAUAAUACGUAGGGGGCAAGCGUUAUCCGGCUUUACUGGGUGUAAAGGGAGCGAAGACGGCAUAGCAAGUCUGACGUGAAAGCCCGUGGCUCAACCGCGUAACUGCUUUGGAAACUGUUAAGCUGGAGUACUGGAGA